GAUGAACGCUGGCGGCGUGCCUAACACAUGCAAGUCGAACGGAGAUUCCGGACGGAAGUUUUCGGAUGGAAGCCUGUACUUCUUAGUGGCGGACGGGUGAGUAACGCGUGGGCAACCUGCCCUAUACAGGGGGAUAGCAGCUGGAAACGGCUGGUAAGACCGCAUAAGUCGGUUAAAUCGCAUGAUUUGAUCGGGAAAUGAGCAAUCAGGUAUAGGAUGGGCCCGCGUCCGAUUAGCCAGUUGGCAGGGUAAAAGCCUACCAAAGCGACGAUCGGUAGCCGGACUGAGAGGUCGGACGGCCACAUUGGGACUGAGACACGGCCCAAACUCCUACGGGAAGCAGCAGUGGGGGAUAUUGCACAAUGGAGGAAACUCUGAUGCAGCGACGCCGCGUGAGUGAAGAAGUAUUUCGGUAUGUAAAGCUCUAUCAGCAGGGAAGAUGAUGACGGUACCUGACUAAGAAGCCCCGGCUAACUACGUG
Molecule: ribosomal RNA, 481 nt
Filed under: uncultured bacterium
Lineage: Bacteria
Description: partial 16S ribosomal RNA
Rfam family: Bacterial small subunit ribosomal RNA
Source: RNAcentral